RNAcentral lists this ribosomal RNA (1372 nucleotides) under uncultured bacterium. RNAcentral describes it as "bacterial SSU rRNA". It matches the Rfam family "Bacterial small subunit ribosomal RNA", at positions 28 to 1381 of the family's 1533-position model. The record is from RNAcentral.
GAUGAACGCUGGCGGCGUGCCUAAUACAUGCAAGUCGAGCGAACGGACGAGAAGCUUGCUUCUCUGAUGUUAGCGGCGGACGGGUGAGUAACACGUGGAUAACCUACCUAUAAGACUGGGAUAACUUCGGGAAACCGGAGCUAAUACCGGAUAAUAUUUUGAACCGCAUGGUUCAAAAGUGAAAGACGGUCUUGCUGUCACUUAUAGAUGGAUCCGCGCUGCAUUAGCUAGUUGGUAAGGUAACGGCUUACCAAGGCAACGAUGCAUAGCCGACCUGAGAGGGUGAUCGGCCACACUGGAACUGAGACACGGUCCAGACUCCUACGGGAGGCAGCAGUAGGGAAUCUUCCGCAAUGGGCGAAAGCCUGACGGAGCAACGCCGCGUGAGUGAUGAAGGUCUUCGGAUCGUAAAACUCUGUUAUUAGGGAAGAACAUAUGUGUAAGUAACUGUGCACAUCUUGACGGUACCUAAUCAGAAAGCCACGGCUAACUACGUGCCAGCAGCCGCGGUAAUACGUAGGUGGCAAGCGUUAUCCGGAAUUAUUGGGCGUAAAGCGCGCGUGGGCGGUUUUUUAAGUCUGAUGUGAAAGCCCACGGCUCAACCGUGGAGGGUCAUUGGAAACUGGAAAACUUGAGUGCAGAAGAGGAAAGUGGAAUUCCAUGUGUAGCGGUGAAAUGCGCAGAGAUAUGGAGGAACACCAGUGGCGAAGGCGACUUUCUGGUCUGUAACUGACGCUGAUGUGCGAAAGCGUGGGGAUCAAACAGGAUUAGAUACCCUGGUAGUCCACGCCGUAAACGAUGAGUGCUAAGUGUUAGGGGGUUUCCGCCCCUUAGUGCUGCAGCUAACGCAUUAAGCACUCCGCCUGGGGAGUACGACCGCAAGGUUGAAACUCAAAGGAAUUGACGGGGACCCGCACAAGCGGUGGAGCAUGUGGUUUAAUUCGAAGCAACGCGAAGAACCUUACCAAAUCUUGACAUCCUUUGACAACUCUAGAGAUAGAGCCUUCCCCUUCGGGGGACAAAGUGACAGGUGGUGCAUGGUUGUCGUCAGCUCGUGUCGUGAGAUGUUGGGUUAAGUCCCGCAACGAGCGCAACCCUUAAGCUUAGUUGCCAUCAUUAAGUUGGGCACUCUAAGUUGACUGCCGGUGACAAACCGGAGGAAGGUGGGGAUGACGUCAAAUCAUCAUGCCCCUUAUGAUUUGGGCUACACACGUGCUACAAUGGACAAUACAAAGGGCAGCGAAACCGCGAGGUCAAGCAAAUCCCAUAAAGUUGUUCUCAGUUCGGAUUGUAGUCUGCAACUCGACUACAUGAAGCUGGAAUCGCUAGUAAUCGUAGAUCAGCAUGCUACGGUGAAUACGUUCCCGGGUCU